This 470-nucleotide long non-coding RNA is filed under the name Rattus norvegicus (Norway rat). Its description in RNAcentral is "long non-coding RNA NONRATT014768". The record is from RNAcentral. Lineage: Eukaryota; Metazoa; Chordata; Mammalia; Rodentia; Muridae.
GCAGUCCGGCUCAUUUGUGUCCCCGGGAUCAGGAUGGACUUCCCCAGCACCCUGCGUCCUUCGUUGUUUAUGGCCGGUCCUCUUGGCAUGACUGAUGGCCCCGACUUGUCCUUCAUGUGCAGCUGGAGAGAUGCACUGACCCUGCCAGGGGCCCAGCCACAGAACUGCAGGGACCAGACAUCGUCCUUUGCCAAGAACCUGCUGUGGGAGCCAUCGACACCAGGACCCCUGCCCCUGGUGCCUCCUGGCCCUGGUUCUUCUCUGACUUCCUUCUCCCCUUAGAUCCCUGGGACCCUGGUCUGGCAGCUCAGGACUUCCUCUUCCGGGGAGGUCACUACUACCAGUACCAGUCUCGAGUUGUGCUGGAUGUCACUGAGCAGCUCAGCCGCUUCCUGUGGGACCAUGGGGAUAUAGCCUUUGCACCCCUGGGGAAACUCAUGCUGGAGAACUUCAGAUUGGAGGGGAACCGG